This 68-nucleotide transfer RNA is filed under the name Umalia orientalis. RNAcentral describes it as "tRNA-Ile". The record is from RNAcentral. Lineage: Eukaryota; Metazoa; Arthropoda; Malacostraca; Decapoda; Raninidae.
AAUAUAAUGCCUGAUUUAAAAGGGUAGCUUUGAUAGAGCUAAUUAUGUAGUUAUUCUACUUAUAUUAC